Molecule: long non-coding RNA, 8042 nt
Filed under: Manihot esculenta (cassava)
Lineage: Eukaryota; Viridiplantae; Streptophyta; Magnoliopsida; Malpighiales; Euphorbiaceae
Description: long non-coding RNA (MESC_LNC000710)
Source: RNAcentral
ACAAUUGGUACUCACUCUCACCAGACUAUUCCCUUAAAGUGGGAGGUCAAGGGUUCGAGUAGUGGGGGAGGCGACCUAAUUUCCUAAGGGAAAUUUGGGCCAAAUCCACUUGGGGAAGGAUGCGUUUGACGAGAACCCAAGGGGACAAAUCCUGCCUGGAACCCGUGAGGGUGAAGGGAUGUUAAGAGCUGCUCACAGUGGCUGGGCCCAGAGGAAGGUCACGGGCUGUGAGCGGUAACAGUGCCGGGGAUCACGUCCGGGCUGUUACAAUGUGAUUUACUUGUGUUGUGAUGUUGUGAUGCAUUCCAUGAGAUCAUGUUUUAUAACAUGUUUUUAUGUACUACUCACUGGGCUAGUAUAGCUCACCCUCUCCCUCAACCCCAGUCUUGUAGGUACAGAGUUCAGAGAUGUAACAGCCCGGAAACCGAUACCCCUCUGUAACGGCCCGCACUACACAACAACAUAGCAUAACACAUAAUCACGCUUUCAUCACAAAACACACAUAAACAUACUUUUAAACCUAAUCAUGCAAACUCAUGCAUAAACUCCAUUUUCCCUUCAUAAAACUCAUGUAAAACAUCCUAAAAACUAAGGAUCCCCACUUACCUCUUGAAGAACAAAGGCUGGUGUGAUCCAAACUCAAGGCUAUGGAGGAUCUAAACUCCAAAGUCUCCAAAACCUUGCUCAAAGUUCAAAACCUUCAAAACCAAGAUAAACUCACUUAAAACUUACUUAAUCUUUGAAAGAUCUGAAGAAAACCAUGAAAACCCACCAAGGAGAACAAAACUCACCUCUGGUAGUGAAAAGGAAGUCAAUCUUAUCCUUUUCACUGACUGGGGGUGCCUAUAUAGAGAGCUGACCGACUCACCUUCGGCAGCCGAAACUGCAUGCGAAACCAUGCAACGUUCGAGGGCCGAACAUGAACUUCGGAAGCCGAACCAUAAGCACUUUCAGCGGCCGAACAUUACCUUCGGCGGCCGAACCUGCAUUUUGCCUCCUUGGUCUUUUCUCGUCAAAACUCAACUCUAACUCACUUUAACCCUUUAAAACACUUCAAAAAAAAAACAUUAAAACAUUUAAAAAUCUUUUAGAAAACCUUCACUCUACCCUUCUAGAAACCUCCGACAUCCUUGAAUCCCACCGGACGGUAAGAAUUCCGAUGCCUGAUCUAGCCGGGUAUUACAAGAGAGGUCAGCAGGGUACAGAUAAAGAGAAGAGUUAUGUAAUAGCUAGUGUGGACAUGUACUUGUAGAAGGCAGUGUAUGUUGUAUAGAUGAUGCUUGACCUUAUGAGUUGUAAUCCCUUUUGUAUAUACAUGGUCUGUUAUGAAACUGAUUGUAGUGUAUAUGUAUGUAUGAAAAACCAGGCUUAACAUUUUAUGAGAGGACCCGCCUAGAGCAAAGAUGAGAGCUCUAGCAGGGGUUUUAUGGUACAGCGUUAGUGCAUGCACAGGUUAAGCCUUGGAACAGAGAAAAGUUUAAAUGUUUACAGAAAAUGUAUGAUCAUGUUUGGGAUAUCACAGGUACACAGAGUGCACAGUAGGCUUACUACGGGUCCCGGCGGCCUUAAGCCGAUCUGGAUCCUAGUGCCGGUAGCAGUUCGGUUUUCGGGCUGUUACAAAUUGGUAUCAGAGCCCUAGGUUCUUAUGGUCGGACCUAUAGAGCGAGAGUCGGGCUCAUAGCGGUCAUAGUUGGUCAAGCACCAUAGGAAAGCAUGUCCACUAGGAUAGGAUGUCAGUCCUGUCUAUCUGAUGUGUGAAUUGCCAUGAGUUAUGCAUGUGCUGUAUAUGUUGCUAAUGUGCUAUGAGAUGUGUGUUGUGUUUCAUAGAGUAAAGAUGCGAGGAACUCGUCGAUCCGCGAGAUUGACUGGAGUCCCACUAGGAAGUGAGGGUACAGCUGCUCGUCCUCCUGCAUUGCCAAGGGCAAGAUCUCACAGGUCAAGCAGGGAAGGAACGUCACGAGACCCUAGAAGGUCUUCUGACGAGAGCAAAAGAGGAGUAGAGAGAGGGGGAAGAUCAGAGGAAGAAAGAGAGGUUUCGGAUGGUGGUCAGAGCAGAAGGUCUGAAGAAGGGAUGGGAGAGUCCCAAGGAGGCGCACAGGCCUCGGGGUUUAGCUAUCCACCCUUUCCACAGGGCCCGGGGUAUCCGAUGGGAGGUACGUCGGAUUUCUCCAGCUUUGCCCCAUAUCCACCUUAUAUGCCCUAUAUGCCUUAUCCUUCUUUUUACCCACCAUAUCACAUGUAUCCACCCCCACCUUCUCAUGCAAGUCCAGCACAACCUGAACCAAGAGAACCAGUACCUCCACCACCAGAACCUGUUGCCCCUGUUGUUGAAGCACAACAGCCUAGUUCAUCAGGGGGACAUAAGGUGAAGAUGACCGAGUACUUAAAGUUGGAUGCGCCUAAAUUCAAUACAGGAGAUGAUCCCUUUGAGUACCUGAGUGCAGUGAGAAUGAUAACCAGUGAAUUGGGAGCUGAUGAGAGCAGGGCCAUUGAGAUGGCAGGGUUCACAUUAAAGUGCAAGAAAGCAAAAGAAUGGUUCAAGAACUAUGUGGAGCCCAGAAUAGAUAGCAUGAUAUGGGAAGAGUUCGCCAAUGAGUUUGCGGGUGGGCUUUUCCUGACAGUGCCAGGGAGAUGAAGGUUGUCGAGUUCGAACAGCUGAGACAGACAGAGGAGAUGAGCGUUGAUGAGUAUACAGAUAAGUUCCUGGCAUUGUUACCAUAUGUUGGUCAGGCAUAUGAUACGGAUCAGAAGAAGGCAAGGAGAUAUGCCACAAGGCUUCACCCCAGGUAUUUCUCCUUGAUUCUUCCAGCAGAGAAAGAGAGUUUCCACUCAAUUGUGGAUGCAGCCAGAAAAAUGGAGGCAAGUGCCAUCAUACAGGGACCAGAAAAGCGACAGGUGGCACAGUGUUCAGGGUCUAAGACCCCAGUGCAGCGGUUUUUGGCAGCAGAAAGGGAGAGAAGUUUAAAUCCAAGAGAGGCAAGUUCUGGAGCAGGAUUAAGUCAGGACUGGGAAUGGGAAGUGGUUCCAGCUCGAGCACAGGUAGUUCAGUAUGUCAGAAGUGUGGGAAACCACAUCGAGGAGUUUGUCUGAUGGGAUCUACAGCCUGCUAUAGAUGUGGGCGAGAGGGACAUAUUGCAAGAGAAUGCCCCCAAGCGACCUUUAUGGCACCAUCCCAGCAGAUGACCUCAGGCAGUGUAGCACAGCCAGCAGCUUCAGCCGUACCACAGAGCAGUGGCAGAGGUAGAGGAAGAGGGUCAGCCUCUUCAUCAGGGAUGGGUUCCCGAGGUGCAGGUCCGUCAGCCCCAGCACGGAUUUUCACCAUGACGCAACAGGAGGCAGACACAUCGAACACAGUGGUGUCAGGUAAUCUCAUCAUUGGGUGUUUUGAGGUGUAUGCUUUGAUGGACCCCGGUGCUUCUCACUCUUUCAUUGCUUCUAGAGCCGCAGAGAGGUUGGGUUUGAUAGUCUCCGUGUUAGAGUGUCCUCUCUGGGUCAGUGGACCUCGAUGUGACCCAUCAUUGGCAGAGUCAGUUUGUCAAGUCAGUCCAGUGUGUAUAGAGGGUAGAUACCUUCCAGCUGACCUUGUGGUUCUAGAGUUGGCAGAUUUUGAUGUCAUUCUAAGGAUGGAUUGGUUAGCUACGUAUAAUGCUACCUUGAACUGCAGGGACAAGGUAGUCAGUUUCAGAGACCAGGAUGGGUCAGAGUGUGUCUUCAGAGGAGACAGGAGAGGGACACCUAAGGGUUUGAUAUCAACCCUCCAGGCUCGUAGGUUGUUGAGGAAGGGUUGUCAGGGGUUCCUAGCUCAUGUGAGAGAGCUAGACAUGCAGGUUAGGGAAUCAUCCUCAGUACCAGUUAUUAGAGAGUUCCCAGAUGUGUUUCUUGAAGAGCUUCCAGGACUACCACCUGUGAGGGAAAUAGAGUUCGAAAUAGAGUUAAUGCCUGGUACGAGACCGAUCUCUAUUCCUCCCUACAGGAUGGCACCAGCUGAGCUGAGAGAGUUGAAAGAGCAGUUACAGGAUUUGGUAGAUAAGGGUUUCAUCCGCCCGAGUACCUCACCUUGGGGUGCUCCAGUACUGUUUGUCAGGAAGAAGGAUGGACCUCUUAGACUUUGUGUCGACUAUCGGCAGUUGAACAAGGUCACUACCAAGAACAAAUAUCCUCUACCCAGGAUCGAUGAUCUAUUUGACCAGCUGUCAGGAGCAGGUUGUUUCUCGAAGAUAAAUCUAAGAUCUGGAUACCAUCAGUUGAGAAUCAGGGAAGAGGAUGUACCUAAGACAGCUUUCAGGACCAGAUAUGGGCAUUAUGAGUUCUUAGUAAUGCCGUUCGGGUUAACUAACGCCCCUGCAACAUUCAUGGAUCUCAUGAACAAAAUUUUUAGAGAGUACCUGGAUCGCUUUGUGAUUGUCUUUAUAGAUGAUAUCUUAGUGUACUCCAGGGAUGCAGAGGAGCAUGCCCAGCAUCUGAGGAUCGUCUUGCAGACUUUGAGGGAGCAUGGCUUGUAUGCCAAGUUCUCUAAAUGCGAGUUCUGGCUGAGGAGCAUUUCUUUCUUGGGGCAUGUCGUAUCAGAUGAAGGUAUAGCAGUGGACCCCAAGAAGGUAGAGGCAGUAGCCAACUGGCCUACACCCAUGACAGUAACAGAGAUCAAGAGCUUUCUGGGUUUGGCAGGCUACUAUCGGAGGUUCGUUCAGGACUUCUCGAAGAUUGCUGCUCCGAUGACUAGAUUAACCAGAAAGAACUAGAAGUUUGUAUGGUCAGAAGAGUGUGCAGAGAGUUUUGAAGAGUUGAAGAGACGGUUGACUUCAGCACCGGUGUUAGCUCUGCCGAUCAGUGAUGAAGACUUCACAGUGUUCUGUGAUGCAUCCCGAGUGGGAUUAGGUUGUGUGUUAAUGCAGAAUGACAGAGUGAUAGCUUAUGCUUCUAGACAGCUGAAGAAGCAUGAGCUGAACUACCCGACACACGAUCUUGAGAUGGCAGCUAUUAUCUUUGCACUUAAGAUGUGGAGGCAUUACCUCUAUGGGGUAAAGUGUGAGAUCUAUACGGAUCAAAAGAGCCUGCAGCACAUCUUAAGUCAGAGAGAGUUAAACUUGAGGCAGAGACGAUGGGUAGAAUUGCUCAGUGAUUAUGAUUGCAAGAUCCAGUAUCAUCCAGGUAAGGCUAAUGUGGUAGCUGAUGCCUUAAGCCGGAAGUCACUUGGCAGUUUAUCCCACAUUGCAGUAGAGAGAAGACCGAUGGUGAAGGACUUUUAUAGACUCAUGGAUGAAGGGCUACAGUUGCAGUUAUCUGGUACAGGUGCUUUGAUUGCACAACUGAGAGUGACACCAGUGUUUCUAGAGCAAGUGGCUCUGAAACAGCACGAAGACCCUGCGUUAGUGAAGAUUGCCAGGACUGUUCAGUCUGGUAACAGUGCAGAGUUCAGAUUUGACAGUGAGGGGAUUCUUCGUCACGGUAAGAGAUUAUGUGUGCCAGAUGACAACAGUUUAAAAGAGGACAUUAUGAGGGAAGCUUAUAAUGCAAGGUACAACGUUCACCCUGGAGCCACCAAGAUGUAUCAAGAUCUGAGAAGAGUGUAUUGGUGGCCAGCGAUGAAGAGAGAAGUGGCACAGUAUGUGUUAGCUUGCGAAACAUGUCAAAGGGUGAAGCUAGAGCACCAGAAGCCGGCUGGAAUGCUUAACCCACUGCCGAUUCCAGAGUGGAAAUGGGAGAACAUCGCUAUGGAUUUUGUCGUGGGCUUACCGGCGACGUCCAACAGGCUAGACUCCAUAUUGGUGAUUGUGGAUAGACUGACUAAAUCUGCUCACUUCAUUCCAGUCAGGAGUAAUUAUUCUGUGGACAAGCUAGCGCAGGUGUAUGUAGAUGAAAUAGUACGGCUGCAUGGAGUUCCUGUGUCAAUCGUAUCAGAUAGAGGACCUCAGUUCACCUCCAGGUUUUGGCGGAGUCUGCAAGCUGCUAUGGGCACAAGAUUGGAUUUCAGCACUGCUUUCCAUCCACAGACAGACGGUCAGUCCGAAAGGACCAUCCAGACCAUAGAAGAUAUGUUGAGAAUGUGUGUGUUAGACUUUGGCGGUUCUUGGAGGCAGCAUCUACCUCUGGUGGAGUUUGCCUACAGUAACAGCCAUCAUGCUAGCAUAGGGAUGGCCCCGUAUGAAGCUCUGUAUGGGAGGAAGUGCCGAACACCUGUUUGCUCGGAAGAGGUAGGAGAGAAGGCUCUUGCAGGGCCAGAGUUAGUCGAGCUUACCAGCAGAUUAGUGCCUAUCAUCAGAGAGAGGAUCAGAACAGCUGUCAGCAGACAUAAAAGUUAUGCAGAUGUCCGUCGGAAGCAGUUAGAGUUUCAAGAGGGGGAUAUGGCUUUGCUGAAGGUGUCUCCAAUGAAAGGCGUGGUUCGCUUUGGGAGAAAGGGAAAGCUAGCUCCACGAUACAUUGGUCCCUUUGAGAUUCUGCAAAGGAUCGGGAAUGUGUCGUACAAGCUGGAUUUACCUGCAUCUAUGGAAAGAAUCCAUCCAAUUUUUCAUGUUUCUAUGUUACGAAAAUUUGUGUCAGAUCCGGGGCAGGUUCUUAGUGAGCCUGCUGUGGAGAUUCUAGGAGAUCUCACAUAUGUCGAGCAGCCAGUGAGGAUCAUUGACACCCAGAUCAGAAAGUUGAGAAACAAGGAAAUUCCGAUGGUAAAAGUCCUGUGGAACCACCAUAACCUAGAAGAGUGCACCUGGGAGACAAGGGAGUCUAUGCUCCAGCAAUACCCAUAUCUGUUUUGAGGUUAGUUUUCCCCUUUUCUGUGUGUUUAUGUGCUUCUGUUUGAGGAACAUUCGGGGACGAAUGUUCUUAAGGGGGGGAGAAUGUAAUACCCGGCUCGAGUCCGGCCUCGGAAUUCCUGUAGUCUGGUGGAAUCUCGGGUGUCGGAACCCUCGAGAAGGGUAAGACAUAUGUUUUCUUAUGUAUGUUGACUUGUUUUAAGGUUUUACGUAUACAUGAAAAUGAGUUUUUAAAAGCAAAGAGCCAAGGGAGAAAAUGGCACGUUCGGCCGCCGAAGGUGACUUUCGGCCGCCGAACCUUGCAUGGUUUUGGAUGCACGUUUGGCCGCCGAAGGUGGUCUGGCCAGCCACCUAUAAAAGGGCGCCAAGUCGAUGGAAGGAUGAUAUUUUGCUUCCAUCUUCAGCCAGAGGUGAGUCCAACACCCUCCCUAGUUGACUUUCAUGAUCUUGCUCAGAUCUUGUAAGGGUUUGAAGAGUUUUCAUGUGUUUUUGAAGGUUUUGAGCGUUUUGAACUAAAGAACGACGUUUUGAAGUUUGGAGAGUUGUGAGGAGAUUUCUCCAUAUCUCCACGUUAGGAUCACUUGAUCUCUUGUUUGGAAGAGGUAAGUCAAGAUCCAGAACCUCUUUUACUGAUUUUUGAAGGUUUUAUGGGAGUUGGAUGGCUACUAUGCAUGAAUAGGGUUUUGGUUGAGGUUUUGUAUGAUUUUGUGUUUACGCAUGUUUAAGUGUUGUUUGAUAUGUUUCUUGGGGUUAUAAGUGAGUUUUAGGCCUUUUUCUGCAUGCUUUAUGGUAUGUGCUAGUUGGGCGUAGUUGAUAUGCAUGUUGGAUAAGUUUGGGGCAAAGUUUGCAUGAAACAGAGCAGGGUUCUGCCCAACGGGCAAAACUAGGUUCGGCCGCCGAACCCCUUGUGGAGGCAGUUUCGACUGCCAAAACUUGCCCCCGAAAGCUAGGCUUUCGGUUUAGAAAGGGACUUUCGGCCUCCGAAAGAGGAAGUUCGGCCGCCGAAAGAGGAAGUUCGGCCGCCGAAAGGGUGUGAGUUUCGUCUCUGGACGAGACCUUCGGCCGCCGAACAUGUAUGAGUUUCGUCUCUGGAGAGGGAUUUCGGCCGCCAAACCUGCCGCCGAAAGUGCUCUGUCCAGCUUUCUUUUGCAUAUUUUAUGUGAUUGUUUGGAGAUUGUUUAGAGGGUUUUUGGGGAGUUUCUUAGAGAUGUUCUUGAGUUAGUUUGGUCCCUCAUUUCAGUCCACCUGUGUAGGAACGGAUGAUAGAGCAUAAUUUAGUCCAUUUUAUAUUAAUAU